This 444-nucleotide ribosomal RNA is filed under the name uncultured soil bacterium. RNAcentral describes it as "bacterial SSU rRNA". It matches the Rfam family "Bacterial small subunit ribosomal RNA", at positions 26 to 518 of the family's 1533-position model. The record is from RNAcentral.
AGAACGAACGCUGGCGGCAUGCCUAACACAUGCAAGUCGAACGAGACCUUCGGGUCUAGUGGCGCACGGGUGCGUAACGCGUGGGAAUCUACCCUUGGGUUCGGAAUAACAGCGGGAAACUGCUGCUAAUACCGGAUAAUGACGUAAGUCCAAAGAUUUAUCGCCCAAGGAUGAGCCCGCGUAGGAUUAGCUAGUUGGUGAGGUAAAGGCUCACCAAGGCAACGAUCCUUAGCUGGUCUGAGAGGAUGAUCAGCCACACUGGGACUGAGACACGGCCCAGACUCCUACGGGAGGCAGCAGUGGGGAAUAUGGACAAUGGGCGAAAGCCUGAUCCAGCAAUGCCGCGUGAGUGAUGAAGGCCUUAGGUUGUAAAGCUCUUUUACCCGGGAUGAUAAUGACAGUACCGGAGAAUAAACUCCGGCUAACUCCGUGCCAGCAGACCGC